CUCUAUAUAUACAUAUAUAUAAACUGCAUAAAUUCAUUGCAUAUGAAGAAAAUAUGUAGAACUAUUCAAACAAUUUCUCACCUAGCAUCAUACUCGAACUGCGAUCGUGGAUGACUCCUUGUACACCAAUGCACCCAAACCUACAAAACAAACGAUGACAAUUACUCCGACUGGGAUUUUGACUUCAUUCCCACUGAUUAUUUCACUACCAUAUGAUGUAUUAUGUAUUGUGAUCAGAACUCGAA
This 245-nucleotide long non-coding RNA is filed under the name Capsicum annuum. RNAcentral describes it as "long non-coding RNA (CANN_LNC008911)". The record is from RNAcentral. Lineage: Eukaryota; Viridiplantae; Streptophyta; Magnoliopsida; Solanales; Solanaceae.